GACGAACGCUGGCGGCGUGCUUAACACAUGCAAGUCGAGCGGAAAGGUCCUGCUUUUGUGGGUUUCUCGAUUGCCGAACGGGUGAGUAUCACGUGCGUAACCUGUCCCUGUCUUUGUGAUAACUCCUGGAAACUGCGGCUAAUACCGCAUAUGAUCUCCUGCUGCAUGUUGGGGUUGGAUGGUUUCGGCGGUUGGUGAUGGACUCGCGGCUUAUCAGCUUGUUGGGGGAGGAGUGGCAUACCACGGCUUUGACGGGUAGCCGGCCUGAGAGGGUGACCGGCGACAUGGGGACUGAGGUAGGGCCCAGACUCCAACGGGCGGCAGCAGUGGAGAGUAUUGCACAGUAGCGGGAAGCGUGUUGCAGAGACGCCGCGUGCGGGAUGACGGCCUACGAGUUGUAAACCACUUUCGCAUGUGACGAAGCGUGAGUGACGGUAAUGGGUAAAGAAGCACCGGCUAACUACGUG
Molecule: ribosomal RNA, 467 nt
Filed under: uncultured bacterium
Lineage: Bacteria
Description: partial 16S ribosomal RNA
Rfam family: Bacterial small subunit ribosomal RNA
Source: RNAcentral